AAAAUGGAUUUUUUAAAAUCCACAAACACUGGAUACAGCAUAGUCU
Non-coding RNA from Felis catus (domestic cat), 46 nucleotides. The record is from Rfam. Lineage: Eukaryota; Metazoa; Chordata; Mammalia; Carnivora; Felidae.